Molecule: ribosomal RNA, 442 nt
Filed under: Thereva strigata
Lineage: Eukaryota; Metazoa; Arthropoda; Insecta; Diptera; Therevidae
Description: partial 16S ribosomal RNA
Rfam family: Bacterial large subunit ribosomal RNA
Source: RNAcentral
AAAUGGCCGCAGUAUUUUAACUGUGCAAAGGUAGCAUAAUCAUUAGUCUUUUAAUUGAAGGCUUGUAUGAAUGGUUGGACGAGAUAUUAACUGUUUCAUAAAAAUUGAGUUAGAAUUUUAUUUUUUAGUUAAAAAGCUAAAAUUUUUUUAAAAGACGAGAAGACCCUAUAGAUCUUUAUAUUUUGUGUAUUAUAAUUAUUUAGAUUAUUUGAGUUAUGAUUAUAUAAAAUAUUUUGUUGGGGUGACAUUAAAAUUUAAUUAACUUUUAAUUAAUAUUUACAUUAAUUUAUGAAUUUUUGAUCCAUUAAUAAUGAUUAAAAAAUUAAGUUACCUUAGGGAUAACAGCGUAAUUUUUUUGAAGAGUUCAUAUCGAUAAAAAAGAUUGCGACCUCGAUGUUGGAUUAAGGUAUAAUUUUGGGUGCAGCAAUUCAAUUAUUAAGUC